Molecule: ribosomal RNA, 464 nt
Filed under: uncultured bacterium
Lineage: Bacteria
Description: bacterial SSU rRNA
Rfam family: Bacterial small subunit ribosomal RNA
Source: RNAcentral
CCUACGGGAGGCAGCAGUGGGGAAUAUUGGACAAUGGGGGCAACCCUGAUCCAGCCAUGCCGCGUGUGUGAAGAAGGCCUUUUGGUUGUAAAGCACUUUAAGCAGGGAGGAGAGGCUAAUGGUUAAUACCCAUUAGAUUAGACGUUACCUGCAGAAUAAGCACCGGCUAACUCUGUGCCAGCAGCCGCGGUAAUACAGAGGGUGCGAGCGUUAAUCGGAAUUACUGGGCGUAAAGCGAGUGUAGGUGGCUCAUUAAGUCACAUGUGAAAUCCCCGGGCUUAACCUGGGAACUGCAUGUGAUACUGGUGGUGCUAGAAUAUGUGAGAGGGAAGUAGAAUUCCAGGUGUAGCGGUGAAAUGCGUAGAGAUCUGGAGGAAUACCGAUGGCGAAGGCAGCUUCCUGGCAUAAUAUUGACACUGAGAUUCGAAAGCGUGGGUAGCAAACAGGAUUAGAUACCCUGGUAG